RNAcentral lists this ribosomal RNA (253 nucleotides) under uncultured bacterium. Its description in RNAcentral is "partial 16S ribosomal RNA". It matches the Rfam family "Bacterial small subunit ribosomal RNA", at positions 524 to 776 of the family's 1533-position model. The record is from RNAcentral.
GACAGAGGUGCCGAGCGUUAGGCGGAAUCACUGGGCUUAAAGCGUGUGUAGGCGGGUCGUUAAGUGUCUUGUGAAAUCCCACCGCUCAACGGUGGAACUGCUGGGCAUACUGGCGAUCUUGAGCCACCUAGGGGCAGACGGAACAAGCGGUGGAGCGGUGAAAUGCGUAGAUAUCGCUUGGAACGCCGAAGGUGAAAACAGGCUGCUGGGGUUGCGCCGACGCUGAGACACGAAAGCCAGGGGAGCAAACGGG